CGGGCGGUGGGAUAGUGGCUAAUCCGCCUGGUUCGGGACCAGGAAACCGGGGGUUCAAAUCCCCCCCGCCCGA
This 73-nucleotide transfer RNA is filed under the name Treponema sp. RNAcentral's name for it is "tRNA-Pro". It matches the Rfam family "tRNA". From Rfam's summary of the family: Transfer RNA (tRNA) molecules are approximately 80 nucleotides in length. Their secondary structure includes four short double-helical elements and three loops (D, anti-codon, and T loops). Lineage: Bacteria; Pseudomonadati; Spirochaetota; Spirochaetia; Treponematales; Treponemataceae. The record is from RNAcentral.